This 534-nucleotide long non-coding RNA is filed under the name Brassica rapa (field mustard). RNAcentral's name for it is "long non-coding RNA (BRAP_LNC005345)". The record is from RNAcentral. Lineage: Eukaryota; Viridiplantae; Streptophyta; Magnoliopsida; Brassicales; Brassicaceae.
UUGCUUUAACUUCUCCAAGAACCCAUAACUUCACUACAAAAGCUACCAAGUCGUUAAUGACCACGAAUCAUUAGCUUGAAUGUCUCUAUGAACCUUACAAAUCUUGGAAUCAAAAUUUUGGAUUCUUUUGGAUGAAUUUGAAGAGAUAGUGAAAGAAAUGUAAUUUGUGUGCAUAAGUAAUGAGAUAUGAAGAGUAAAAAUCGAAACUUUGGUGCGUUAAGAACUUCCAAUUGGUUGUUCAUGGUGGCUAGUGUAUUGAUAACAAUAACAAUAACAAUAUUGUAAAUAGUUGAUGAAGAUGAGAAUGAUAAGGUAAAAGAAUUAUUCAAAAAAAAUAAAGAAAAAAAAAUGUGAUGGCAGUUUCGUGAAUAACUUGAAUUUUUACGGUGAAUAGAAAAAAAAAUUCAAAGAAUUAUGGGUUAUUUUUGUAUCUGACUUUAAAUUUUAGAUCAUAUUAAAAAAAAAACCCAAUGAAUGGUCCCCGUAGAACUAGAAUUCUUAGCUAGUUUUUGAAUGAUACAUUUAAUAUCGUCA